RNAcentral lists this long non-coding RNA (214 nucleotides) under Lathyrus oleraceus (garden pea). RNAcentral describes it as "Pisum sativum (pea) long non-coding RNA (PSAT_LNC025689)". Lineage: Eukaryota; Viridiplantae; Streptophyta; Magnoliopsida; Fabales; Fabaceae. The record is from RNAcentral.
UCCUUUGACCUUUGUUUGCCUUGUGUGUGAUCCCUUACUUGUGAUUGUUGUAUUCAUGCAUUUCAUGCGCAUCAUAACAUUCAUCACACAAAAUUUCAAGGAACUAAGGUGCCAUUUGCAAAUAUUUUCAGACCAUGGAUUGUGGACGAAGGAACACUAAGAAGUACAGUUUCAGAUGUCCAGAUUUGAAAGAGUUAAGGAAGCUAGCAUCUUU